Molecule: long non-coding RNA, 820 nt
Filed under: Parus major (Great Tit)
Lineage: Eukaryota; Metazoa; Chordata; Aves; Passeriformes; Paridae
Description: lncRNA (ENSPMJG00000019305.1)
Source: RNAcentral
AUUUUGAUGCCUUUACCAGCAUUAAACAAAAGGACUCCACAUUAACUUGGACAGUAAAAUGGCUCCAUUCUGUAGCUGAUGAGCUUACUAUUUAUGGAUGUCUAAAUAUAUUUUUGUUUCCUUGUAGGAAGAGGAGUCUGUCUAAAUAUCUUAUUUUGUAACCUACAGAAAUUCACAGAAGGAUGUCUUCUAGUAAUAUCUCCUUUGAAUUAUUUCCUUAACUAUGAAGAUGCAAGUAAACAAGCAAUUUUUUUACAGUGGACAGGUCAUAACUUUUAAAUGGCCAACCUGUCUGUCCUUUCAAGAAAAAGCCAGGACUGCUGUGCAUACAUGGAGGACUUUUUUCCUCUCUCCCCUUGCUUUUGCUGCCAACUGCUGCAUCUCAUAUCUGGGAAAGAACAGGUGCAGAGCCAUCUUGGGAUUGCAGUGCAUUGCCAGCAGCUUGCAGGGGUCCUGCGAGGAAUUACAUGUUGCUGCUGAUGGAGGUUUCUUCCUCCUGUUUGCUGGGACAAUCAUGCUGGUGUUUAUGGCCCUCUCAAAAGAAACUUCAAGAAAUGUAAGGACAAACUGGGGAGGAUCGAGUGACGCAGAGAAGGAAGGAUCCAACGUGUAGCAAACAUAACUUCUGAAAAAGAAAUAGGUUAUUGUUGGUAUUAAGAAUGAAGAAGGCAGGACUUAAGCCAUGGCAGGUCUUCAAAUGACUUAAAGAAGACUGAAGAAAAAUGCAAGAAACUUCCCCAACCUCCAAGGAAGUUGAGCUUCUGUUGCAGAAAGUGAGAUUUAUAUACAGCCUUAAUAAAACCUUCCCAAAGUAAGGACA